RNAcentral lists this non-coding RNA (29 nucleotides) under Rattus norvegicus (Norway rat). The record is from RNAcentral. Lineage: Eukaryota; Metazoa; Chordata; Mammalia; Rodentia; Muridae.
UGGCACCACUGCUCAGAGUCUUUGAAGUU